Long non-coding RNA from Humulus lupulus (European hop), 2426 nucleotides. RefSeq lists it as uncharacterized. The transcript is spliced from 3 exons. The record is from RefSeq and is a predicted model, not a curated record. NCBI's taxonomy places the organism in Eukaryota, Viridiplantae, Streptophyta, Magnoliopsida, Rosales, Cannabaceae.
GUAGAGAGAAGAAGAGAGAGAGAGAGAGAGGCGUGAGCUAGAGAGAGAAGGAGAAGAAGAAAGAAAGGAAGAAGAAGGAGAAGAGGGAAUCAAUUCUAGGGCUUGAACAAGGGUGAUAUAGUUUGAGUAUUGGUCAUCUUGUGUAUUCUUGAUUUCACAAAUCAAGAGAGAGAACGCUUUAGAAGAUCUUGGUGUGAGUACGUGGGAGCGGCUUGGAUAGGAAGAUCGUUCUAAAUACGAAAAGAUAGCAAGGGCACUUGAUAGGCUUCAAGAGGUAUGAUUUCUAUUAUUAUCUUGCUUAUGAUUAAUGUAUGUAUAUUAAUGGAUCCGCAUAUUUAAAGGUAGUUUAAAUAUGUUACAAAAUUUUUGUUGUACACUGGGCCAACCACACCACCAUUCCGCUGCGUAUUAGGAAACUCGUUCCUAACAGUGUGGAUGGCCCAUACACACAUGGGUUAUAUGAGUGGGCAAAAUAGAGUUUUAUGUGAUGCUAAAGAAUGUUAUUUGGUUAUGGUAUAGGCUCGUUGUGAAGUUGUCAUUUUUGUUUUGCUUGGACCUGAGGUAAGGAAGUUAGAUAGAAGUUUUUUUUGUUUAUGCUAUGAAUGGUAAGAUUGCAUUGUAUGAAUAAAAAUGUUAUGUAUGAUGAUAUUUUGCGAUAUGAAUAGUAAAUUUCUAAUGUAUGUUGAUAUGACUGGAUUGUAAGUCAUUGAAUGUUGUAUGAUAUGAAAUAGUUGUUAGCGUGAUGAACGCGACUCAACAAAAAGAGGUUACUAAGGAUGUGAAGAUGUAACCCGAGUUACUAAGGAUAAGAAGAUGUAACUCCUAGGGCAGACGCGCCGAGGUUAUUCAAGGACCAGAGAUCCUGUUUACCUCAAGAGGUGACAUGGACAAGUUAGCGAGCCAUGUUCACAAAGAUAUGAUGUUUAUGUUAUGGUGUUAUAAUGAUGAUGACUUUGUAUAUGAUGCCAAUGUUGUGAUGAUUAUGUUUAUGUUUACGAUAAUUAUGCUAUGAAGUAUGACGAUGUAUGAAUAUAAAUAUAUUUUGUUGUGUUUUACUUAUGUGAUAUUUGUACUUCCUUACUGGGCUUUUAGCUCACCCUCUUACUUUCCCUUCUAGGUAGCAAAUAGGUUUCGCCAUGGCAUGCGUGGUGAUGUGGGGAGUUCUAUCGUCAUGGUGUGUAUGGCGUGGGGGCAUCCUAUGGACGAGAAACGAUCAGUUAAAACGCCAUUUUUUAAAAAUAAUGUUAUGCUUAUUUUGACAUUCUAAACUUAUCAGUGGGACUUGAACUUUGGUUAGUUUUAAGAACUUUGCAUGAAAACUAUUAUUUUUCUUUUUGAACUAUUGGGCCCAACUUGCAUGUUUUAGCAAGGCCCAACUGGGAUUUUACAAUAAGUGGCUUUUUCCCCUAUAAAUUAAUGAGUAUGCAAAUGUUUUACAAAGUAUUAGAUUAGGAUGUUUUACACCUAGGGUUAGGGUCGGCGGCAUGGUGAGCCAAGGGCUCGGCAAGGGCGGCGCAGGUGGCUGGGGAAUCACAUGGUGGAAAGGCGUGGGAUGGCUGCAGGCACGCAGAGUUGCGAGUGUGCAAAGGCUCAGGCUGGCGCACACUAGAGGCAGGGCCACGGGGCCUGAGUGACGUGUGUGGAGCAUGGGCCACAUCUUGCCAACACGUGACUAUCGAUAAUGAUGGGAUCGUCCAAUGGAUAAAUAAAUUUGUCCUACAAUAAAAGUUUAAAAUUUAUAAAAAUUAUAUUAGGAUCUCAUUAGUAUUUAUUUUAAUUAAUGUUAGAUACUCACCAAUAAUCUCUAACAAAUGACCUGGAUAUCACUCAGGGCCACAUCUUGCCAACACGUGACUAUAAGGGAUAUGGUUUCUCCCACAUGUAGCACCAUAGAGUUAUUUGUAAGUCUGUACAUCUUUACUAGUAUUCGGCUUAAACUCGACAAGCAGACGGGUAAGCUUCUUCUUUGCUAGCUAUUUCUCGAUGUUGGCACCAUAGAAAGCUUCUCGACCCCUCUUGCUACCCCCGCUUUCAUCUAUCGAUGCUUUCAUACUAUAUAUUAAAAUUUUCGUUACAUAUUUGAUAACUCCAUUUUAGUGUUGUUUUAGGAUGUGUUUUUGUGGUAAUCUUGAGUAUUUAUGUUUGUUUUUGUGUUUGUUGUAGGUAGGUGCAUUGAAUCAUGAGACAAAUGUAAAAAAGAAGAGGAAAUGGUGAAAAAAAGGAGCUUCCAGUGGUUGAUUGGCUCAAAAUGGCGCUAAGGACGAGUUGUAAUAAGUUUAUGAUGAAGGAAGGAUGUUGAUGUAGAGUCCAAGAACUUUACUUAGCUAAUUGUUUAGUAGUAUUAUAGUAUGUUUAGUAUUAUCUUUGUAACAGUGGAUUUUUGGUUCAGACCGGGAAUUAUUUGGACACUCAUAGUAGUACUUAUA